CGAGCGCAACCUUAUCCUCAGUUACCAGCACUUCGGGUGGGACUUUGGGGAGACUGCCGGUGAUAAACCGGAGGAAGGUGGGGACGACGUCAAGUCAUCAUGGCCCUUAUGGCUAGGGCUACACACGUGCUACAAUGGUAUACAAACGGAGCAACCGCGAGGUGGAGCAAUCUGAAAAGUUCGUAGUCCGGAUUGGAGUCUGCAACUCGACUCCAUGAAGUCGGAAUCGCUAGUAAUCGUGAAUCAGAAUGUCACGGUGAAUACGUUCCCGGGCC
This 275-nucleotide ribosomal RNA is filed under the name uncultured bacterium. RNAcentral's name for it is "partial 16S ribosomal RNA". It matches the Rfam family "Bacterial small subunit ribosomal RNA", at positions 1093 to 1380 of the family's 1533-position model. The record is from RNAcentral.